Molecule: ribosomal RNA, 1551 nt
Filed under: Salmonella enterica
Lineage: Bacteria; Pseudomonadati; Pseudomonadota; Gammaproteobacteria; Enterobacterales; Enterobacteriaceae
Description: bacterial LSU rRNA
Rfam family: Bacterial large subunit ribosomal RNA
Source: RNAcentral
GGUAUCAGAAGUGCGAAUGCUGACAUAAGUAACGAUAAAGCGGGUGAAAAGCCCGCUCGCCGGAAGACCAAGGGUUCCUGUCCAACGUUAAUCGGGGCAGGGUGAGUCGACCCCUAAGGCGAGGCCGAAAGGCGUAGUCGAUGGGAAACGGGUUAAUAUUCCCGUACUUGGUGUUACUGCGAAGGGGGGACGGAGAAGGCUAUGUUGGCCGGGCGACGGUUGUCCCGGUUUAAGCGUGUAGGUGUGUGUUCCAGGUAAAUCCGGUUCACUUUAACACUGAGGCGUGAUGACGAGGCACUACGGUGCUGAAGCAACAAAUGCCCUGCUUCCAGGAAAAGCCUCUAAGCAUCAGGUAACAUCAAAUCGUACCCCAAACCGACACAGGUGGUCAGGUAGAGAAUACCAAGGCGCUUGAGAGAACUCGGGUGAAGGAACUAGGCAAAAUGGUGCCGUAACUUCGGGAGAAGGCACGCUGACACGUAGGUGAAGUGAUUUACUCAUGGAGCUGAAGUCAGUCGAAGAUACCAGCUGGCUGCAACUGUUUAUUAAAAACACAGCACUGUGCAAACACGAAAGUGGACGUAUACGGUGUGACGCCUGCCCGGUGCCGGAAGGUUAAUUGAUGGGGUCAGCGUAAGCGAAGCUCCUGAUCGAAGCCCCGGUAAACGGCGGCCGUAACUAUAACGGUCCUAAGGUAGCGAAAUUCCUUGUCGGGUAAGUUCCGACCUGCACGAAUGGCGUAAUGAUGGCCAGGCUGUCUCCACCCGAGACUCAGUGAAAUUGAACUCGCUGUGAAGAUGCAGUGUACCCGCGGCAAGACGGAAAGACCCCGUGAACCUUUACUAUAGCUUGACACUGAACAUUGAGCCUUGAUGUGUAGGAUAGGUGGGAGGCUUUGAAGUGUGGACGCCAGUCUGCAUGGAGCCGACCUUGAAAUACCACCCUUUAAUGUUUGAUGUUCUAACGUGGACCCGUAAUCCGGGUUGCGGACAGUGUCUGGUGGGUAGUUUGACUGGGGCGGUCUCCUCCUAAAGAGUAACGGAGGAGCACGAAGGUUGGCUAAUCCUGGUCGGACAUCAGGAGGUUAGUGCAAUGGCAUAAGCCAGCUUGACUGCGAGCGUGACGGCGCGAGCAGGUGCGAAAGCAGGUCAUAGUGAUCCGGUGGUUCUGAAUGGAAGGGCCAUCGCUCAACGGAUAAAAGGUACUCCGGGGAUAACAGGCUGAUACCGCCCAAGAGUUCAUAUCGACGGCGGUGUUUGGCACCUCGAUGUCGGCUCAUCACAUCCUGGGGCUGAAGUAGGUCCCAAGGGUAUGGCUGUUCGCCAUUUAAAGUGGUACGCGAGCUGGGUUUAGAACGUCGUGAGACAGUUCGGUCCCUAUCUGCCGUGGGCGCUGGAGAACUGAGGGGGGCUGCUCCUAGUACGAGAGGACCGGAGUGGACGCAUCACUGGUGUUCGGGUUGUCAUGCCAAUGGCACUGCCCGGUAGCUAAAUGCGGAAGAGAUAAGUGCUGAAAGCAUCUAAGCACGAAACUUGCCCCGAGAUGAGUUCU